GUAAAAUUUUAAAGGUCGAACAGACCUAAUUUAUUAGCUUCUACACCAAUAAUUUUUUUUAAUCCAACAUCGAGGUCGCAAUCUUUUCUAUUGAUUUGAACUCUAAAGAAAAAUUACGCUGUUAUCCCUAAGGUAAUUUUAUCUUUUAAUCUUUAAAUAAGGAUCAACUAUUCACUUAUAAGUGUUAAAAUAAAAAAAAAGUUCAUUAAAUUUUUUAAUCACCCCAAUCAAAUAAUUAUCCUUAUAAAUUGAAAA
This 255-nucleotide ribosomal RNA is filed under the name Elichora sp. ARC1357. RNAcentral's name for it is "partial 16S ribosomal RNA". Lineage: Eukaryota; Metazoa; Arthropoda; Insecta; Coleoptera; Curculionidae. The record is from RNAcentral.